UUUUAUUUGAGAGUUUGAUCCUGGCUCAGGAUGAACGCUGGCGGCGUGCCUAACACAUGCAAGUUGAGCGAUUUACUUCGGUAAAGAGCGGCGGACGGGUGAGUAACGCGUGGGUAACCUACCCUGUACACACGGAUAACAUACCGAAAGGUAUGCUAAUACGGGAUAAUAUAUUUGAGAGGCAUCUCUUAAAUAUCACAGGUGAGCCAGUACAGGAUGGACCCGCGUCUGAUUAGCUAGUUGGUAAGGUAACGGCUUACCAAGGCGACGAUCAGUAGCCGACCUGAGAGGGUGAUCGGCCACAUUGGAACUGAGACACGGUCCAAACUCCUACGGGAGGCAGCAGUGGGGAAUAUUGCACAAUGGGCGAAAGCCUGAUGCAGCAACGCCGCGUGAGUGAUGAAGGCCUUCGGGUCGUAAAACUCUGUCCUCAAGGAAGAUAAUGACGGUACUUGAGGAGGAAGCCCCGGCUAACUACGUGCCAGCAGCCGCGGUAAUACGUAGGGGGCUAGCGUUAUCCG
This 521-nucleotide ribosomal RNA is filed under the name Clostridioides difficile. Its description in RNAcentral is "bacterial SSU rRNA". It matches the Rfam family "Bacterial small subunit ribosomal RNA", at positions 1 to 547 of the family's 1533-position model. Lineage: Bacteria; Bacillati; Bacillota; Clostridia; Peptostreptococcales; Peptostreptococcaceae. The record is from RNAcentral.